Molecule: ribosomal RNA, 253 nt
Filed under: uncultured bacterium
Lineage: Bacteria
Description: partial 16S ribosomal RNA
Rfam family: Bacterial small subunit ribosomal RNA
Source: RNAcentral
UACAGAGGUCUCAAGCGUUGUUCGGAUUCAUUGGGCGUAAAGGGUGUGUAGGUGGCGCGCUAAGUCGGGCGUGAAAUUUCGGAGCUUAACUCCGAAACUGCAUUCGAUACUGGCGUGCUUGAGGACUGGAGAGGAGACUGGAAUUCAUGGUGUAGCAGUGAAAUGCGUAGAGAUCAUGAGGAAGACCAGUGGCGAAGGCGGGUCUCUGGACAGUUCCUGACACUGAGACACGAAGGCCAGGGGAGCAAACGGG